Molecule: transfer RNA, 90 nt
Filed under: Candidatus Portnoybacteria bacterium CG_4_8_14_3_um_filter_40_10
Lineage: Bacteria; Candidatus Portnoyibacteriota
Also listed under: 1 other name
Description: tRNA-Ser
Rfam family: tRNA
About the family: Transfer RNA (tRNA) molecules are approximately 80 nucleotides in length. Their secondary structure includes four short double-helical elements and three loops (D, anti-codon, and T loops). Further hydrogen bonds mediate the characteristic L-shaped molecular structure. tRNAs have two regions of fundamental functional importance: the anti-codon, which is responsible for specific mRNA codon recognition, and the 3' end, to which the tRNAs corresponding amino acid is attached (by aminoacyl-tRNA synthetases). tRNAs cope with the degeneracy of the genetic code in two manners: having more than one tRNA (with a specific anti-codon) for a particular amino acid; and 'wobble' base-pairing, i.e. permitting non-standard base-pairing at the 3rd anti-codon position.
Source: RNAcentral
GGAGACGUACCUAAGUGGCCGAAAGGGGUGGUCUCGAAAACCACUGUACCGGAAACGGUACCGGAGGUUCGAAUCCUCCCGUCUCCGCCU